GAUGAAGAACGUAGCGAAAUGCGAUAAGUAAUGUGAAUUGCAGAAUUCAGUGAAUCAUCGAAUCUUUGAACGCACAUUGCGCCCCCUGGUAUUCCGGGGGGCAUGCCUGUCCGAGCGUCAUUAUAACCCUCAAGCUCAGCUUGGUGUUGGGCCCCGCCGCCCCGGCGGGCCCUAAAGUCAGUGGCGGUGCCGUCCGGCUCCGAGCGUAGUAAUUCUUCUCGCUCUGGAGGUCCGGUCGUGUGCUCGCCAGCAACCCCCAAUUUUUUUCAGGUUGACCUCGGAUCAGGUAGGGAUACCCGCUGAACUUAAGCAUAUCAAUAAGCGGAGGA
RNAcentral lists this unclassified non-coding RNA (329 nucleotides) under soil metagenome. RNAcentral's name for it is "partial contains 5.8S ribosomal RNA, internal transcribed spacer 2, and large subunit ribosomal RNA". The stretch from base 1 to 120 matches the Rfam family "5.8S ribosomal RNA", at positions 35 to 154 of the family's 154-position model. The record is from RNAcentral.